RNAcentral lists this transfer RNA (60 nucleotides) under Dipodomys ordii (Ord's kangaroo rat). It matches the Rfam family "tRNA", at positions 7 to 64 of the family's 71-position model. Rfam says of the family: Transfer RNA (tRNA) molecules are approximately 80 nucleotides in length. Their secondary structure includes four short double-helical elements and three loops (D, anti-codon, and T loops). The record is from Rfam by way of RNAcentral. Lineage: Eukaryota; Metazoa; Chordata; Mammalia; Rodentia; Heteromyidae.
GUGGCUCAGUGGUAGAGCAUUUGCCUUGCAUGCAUGAGGCCCUGGGUUCAAUUCCUCAGC